This 764-nucleotide ribosomal RNA is filed under the name Bacteroides sp. ES-04. RNAcentral's name for it is "bacterial SSU rRNA". It matches the Rfam family "Bacterial small subunit ribosomal RNA", at positions 23 to 778 of the family's 1533-position model. The record is from RNAcentral. Lineage: Bacteria; Pseudomonadati; Bacteroidota; Bacteroidia; Bacteroidales; Bacteroidaceae.
GUCAGAUGAACGCUAGCUACAGGCUUACACAUGCAAGUCGAGGGGCAGCAUGGUCUUAGCUUGCUAAGGCCGAUGGCGACCGGCGCACGGGUGAGUAACACGUAUCCAACCUGCCGUCUACUCUUGGACAGCCUUCUGAAAGGAAGAUUAAUACAAGAUGGCAUCAUGAGUCCGCAUGUUCACAUGAUUAAAGGUAUUCCGGUAGACGAUGGGGAUGCGUUCCAUUAGAUAGUAGGCGGGGUAACGGCCCACCUAGUCUUCGAUGGAUAGGGGUUCUGAGAGGAAGGUCCCCCACAUUGGAACUGAGACACGGUCCAAACUCCUACGGGAGGCAGCAGUGAGGAAUAUUGGUCAAUGGGCGAGAGCCUGAACCAGCCAAGUAGCGUGAAGGAUGACUGCCCUAUGGGUUGUAAACUUCUUUUAUAAAGGAAUAAAGUCGGGUAUGGAUACCCGUUUGCAUGUACUUUAUGAAUAAGGAUCGGCUAACUCCGUGCCAGCAGCCGCGGUAAUACGGAGGAUCCGAGCGUUAUCCGGAUUUAUUGGGUUUAAAGGGAGCGUAGAUGGAUGUUUAAGUCAGUUGUGAAAGUUUGCGGCUCAACCGUAAAAUUGCAGUUGAUACUGGAUAUCUUGAGUGCAGUUGAGGCAGGCGGAAUUCGUGGUGUAGCGGUGAAAUGCUUAGAUAUCACGAAGAACUCCGAUUGCGAAGGCAGCCUGCUAAGCUGCAACUGACAUUGAGGCUCGAAAGUGUGGGUAUCAACAGAUAU